CUUUAUUUGACAGCAUGCAUUUGACAACGAGUGGGACAUUAUUCUGAAGGCUGUGCGUUAACUGUGUGUCACGCAUGAAUAUGCUGCGCUUUAUUCUGGACUGUCUGCGGCCCGCACGAGCUCGCGCUGCAGCCGCUGCCAGGGACACGGAGCUUGAGGCUCAGGUCAACACUUCAGAUGAUAAUGAAAUCAAGGGUCUGCAGGAUGAGGUGCACAUGGAACAGGAGACCCUUCAGACGGUCAAGGCCUUGCGCCGUAACACGCAGGAGACCGUGGAGAUGCUGGAGGACAGGAAGACACAGCUGAAGGAAGAACUGAAGAUCAUCUAUGACCUCCAGAAACAGGAGAGGGA
This 352-nucleotide long non-coding RNA is filed under the name Sinocyclocheilus anshuiensis. Its description in RNAcentral is "lncRNA (ENSSANG00000009588.1)". The record is from RNAcentral. Lineage: Eukaryota; Metazoa; Chordata; Actinopteri; Cypriniformes; Cyprinidae.